Molecule: small nucleolar RNA, 134 nt
Filed under: Anabas testudineus (climbing perch)
Lineage: Eukaryota; Metazoa; Chordata; Actinopteri; Anabantiformes; Anabantidae
Description: Small nucleolar RNA SNORA14 (ENSATEG00000014986.2)
Rfam family: Small nucleolar RNA SNORA14
About the family: ACA14 is a member of the H/ACA class of snoRNA that guide the sites of modification of uridines to pseudouridines.
Source: Rfam by way of RNAcentral
GCGCAUCCUUAGAAACCCCCCAGUCACUUUUUGUGGUCUCUGGGACAAGAAAGGAUGCAAAAGCAAUCUUAGAGCCAUCCAAAACUGAGAGCCAUAUAUCAGAAACUCUUGGUUAUUUCACCUCUAAGACAAAA